AACAUCAAAAGGACACAAAGCAAGCAAGCAACCAUUGUAGUUGGAAAAUAUCUCUGUCCGAUCUAUUUAAUCUGACCGCAGUCGAUCACGACGGGCUUGGAAAACUUGUCCUUAAGAGGUUCGUGUGAUAUGAUCCUGACCACAUCCAAUCCUUCAACAACUUGGCCGAAGACGACGUGUAGAUCGUCGAGUUCCCAGUUCUCGGUCAAGGAGAUCAAAAACUGAGAUUGGUUGGUGUCAGGACCAUUGUUGUUCAUGGAGAGGAUACCCGGACCGGUGUGCUUUUUGAUGAAGUUCUCAUCCUCGAAAAAACCUCCGGCGUAGAUUGAUUCGCCUCCGUAUCCUUUCCUUUCGUAAGUGAAAUCUCCUCCGCCAAUGAUAUAAUCGGGGCACAUAUGGUGGAUGAUUGAUCCUUUGUAAUGAAGUGGCUUACCCUUCUUCCCCAUGCCUUUCUCGCCUGUACAGAGGGCGCGGAAAUUCUCUGCCGUCCGUGGGGUCGUGUCGGCAAAGAGCUCCAUCACGAUCCGACCAACAGCUUUGCCGCGCACCGCCAUAUCAAAGAAAACCUUUGGGUUAGCCUUUCCUGGAGAGCAUUCUAGGGGCUUUUGAGAGGACGGAUUCGUACAUAGAUUACCAGCUGCAGCAGAGUUUGGGUUAAUGCUAAUGUUAAGUCCUUCACCAGCCGGAAUGUUUAUGUUGAUGGUAAAUCCACCGGCCAUUCUCUGAGUUUGGAUCUAAGGAAUUUGGAAUGUUUAUGUUGAUGGUAAAUCCACCGGCCAUUCUCUGAGUUUGGAUCUAAGAAAUUAUAUAGGUUUCCUGGGGCUGGGAGGAGUUAUCGAGAGAGAGAGACAACAUAUAGUAGUUCCAAUGAAAAUAAAUAGUAAAGUGAAGGAAGAUCGUCGGCCGUAUUUGUAGAUUUUUUAAACAGUAUUUUAGGUUAACUGUGGUUAGAUCGAAUCUCACUAGCGUUAAAUCUAAUAUGACUGCUUCUAUUUUGAAAAUAUUUACUGAACCAUGUCACUCCGUUUUAAAAUUUUUUUAUGCUUUUUUAAUUAUUAAAAUAUAUUAUCGAUAACCUUUAAAUCUAACUGCAAUUUAUUUUAAAAUUUCUUUUCUUUCGGAUCAAGCUAAUUAAAAACACUCACAUUUUUGUUGGUUCUAUCAACAACACUUACGUUUUUUUUUGUUUUUCUUAAGUAACACUUGCCUUUCAAUAUAAAAAACGUUUAUUGUACAAUCGCUGUCACAUAUUGGAUACUGCAUUUUUCAACAUUUAAACUAUACAUUAUCAUACACAUCAGUGUUUCAACCAUGUUCCAAAACGGGUUCUUGGCGGCCGAUUAAAUCCCAGCGAAACUCUAUUCGACGGUUGGCCAAGGCGAUUUUAUCAUAUGCAGUCACACUAUCGGUUACGAGAAUUGUUUCUUUUUAAGUUUUGAUAGUAUAAAACGAGAUAUUAGAUGAUAUAUAUUAUGAGUUAAAACAUAAAAAAAGAUGUAAUUUCGAUGAAUUACGUGAAAAUAUCUUUAUUACCGCUAUGGAAGUGCAGUAGAGAUCGUAAGAUCUGGAGGAAAUUAUUAGGUAUGACGAAGCGAAUUGACCAUGUUACCCUACAUUAAAAGGAAAAAAAAAAUCUUAAAAUGGAACAAAACCGAGCUCAGUAGCGUUAAAUCUAAUAUGACUACUUCUAUUUUGAAAAUAUUUACUGAACCAUUUCACUCCUUUUUUUUAAACUUUUAUGCUUUUUUUAAUUAUUAAAAUAUAUUAUCGAUAACCUUUAAAUCUAACUGCAAUUUAUUUUAAAUUUUCAUUUCUUUUCCCUUCCUUUCGGAUCAAGCUAAUUAAAAUUACUCACAUUUUUGUUGGCUCUAUGAACAACACUCACGUUUUUUUUUUUUGCUAAGUAACACUUGCGUUUCAAUAUAAAAAACGUUUAUUGUACAAUCGCUGUCACAUAUUGGAUACUGCAUUUUUCAACAUUUAAACUAGGCCUGGGCAAAAUAACCGGAACCGAAGAACCGAACCGAAACCGAACCGAAAUACCCGAAACCGGAACCGGACCAAUACCCUCAAAUACCCGAACGGUUCCUAUAUUUUUAUAUCCGAAAUAACCGAACCGAACCGGAACCGAACCGAGAACCGAACGGGUAUCCGAAUAUAUAAAAAUAUUAAUUAUAUAUACAUAUAUAACAUCACUAAAUAUAUAUUUUUAAUUUAAAAUUCUAUUAAAAGUAUUUGAAAAUAGUUGAUGAUAACUAAAUUAUUAUAAAGUAUCCAAACUACCCGAAAGUAUCCGAAACUAUCCGGAUAGUUUUAUUCGAAAUAUCCAAAGUAAUCCGAAAUAUCCAAAAUUUUUAUCUAAAUCAUCCUAAUUAUUUGAUAUUUUACCUUAAAUAACCGAUAUUUUACCUUAAAUAACCAAUAUUUUAUCCAAAUUAUCCAAACUAUCCGAACUAUCCGAACCCGAACCGGAUCUAAAUGAGAACCGAACUUUUUCCGGAUAUUUUCCGGUUCCUACAUUUACUAUCCGAACCGAACCGAACCCGAAACUAUCCGAACCGAACCGAACCGAAAAUAGGUCAAGUACUAAAUGGAUCCUCUAGCCCCUAUCCGAACUACCCAAAACCCGAAAUACCCGAACCGAACCGAACCGAUACCCGAAAUGCCCAGGCCUAAUUUAAACUAUACAUUAUUAUACACAUCAGUGUUUCAACCAUGUUCCAAAACGGGUUCUUGGUGGCCGAUUAACCGAUACCCGAAAUGCCCAGGCCUAAUUUAAACUAUACAUUAUUAUACACAUCAGUGUUUCAACCAUGUUCCAAAACGUGUUCUUUGUGGCCGAUUAAAUCCCGGCGAGACUCUAUUCGACGGUUGGCCAAGGCGAUUUUAUCAUAUGCAGUCACACUAUCGGUUACGAGAAUUGUUUCUUUUUAAGUUUUGAGAGUAUAAAACGAGAUAUUAGAUGAUAUAUAUUAUGAGUUAAAACAUAAAAAAAGAUGUAAUUUCGAUGAAUUACGUGAAAAUAUCUUUAUUACCGCUAUGGAAGUGCAUUAGAGAUCGUAAGAUCUGGAGAAAAUUAUUAGGGAUGACGAAGCGAAUUACCAUGUUACUCUACAUUAAAAGGAAAAAAAAAUCUUAAAAUGGAACAAAAACGAGCUCCACUCGGGUUGAACUCAGGUAAAGUUGAGUGACGCUUUAGUACCACUGGACUAGGGAUAUUGUCAUGGGUAAAAUAACUCUAUCCGUCCCAAACCCGAAUCAAACCCGCCCAAAAAUACCGUAAACUAGAAAACCCGAAAAAAAUUCAGUACCAUUAGGGUAACCCACGAAAAACCGGUAGAAUUUUAGGUUUACCCGCGAGUACUCGAAUCUUUUUUGUCAAUAAUAUUUUUUCUAAAGUUUUUCUGCUUGUUCAAUCAAACUUAACAUGUUAGCUUUAUAUAAAAAAAUGGGUUUGUUAACAAUCUUUUUGUUUGUUGUUGAUAUGAGUUAUUUGAACUAAGCCAUGUAAACAAACAUCCACGCACUUACUAAGAUUAAUAAAAAAAAAAAAUCAAACAAAAAUUAAGAAAAAUAAAAAUAGAGCGAAAAGAUAUGGUUCAAUUCCAAGAAACGUGGUAAACAGAAUAUUCAAUACAAGAUUCUCGGCGAAUCCACUUCUCCGAACAAAAGAUAAGACAUUAAGUAAAACGCCAUCGUUUAAACUAACACUACAUUUUUUUAAAAAAUGCCAUAGGGUUCCCGAAACCAAGAAGGUAAAACCCGAUCGGAUAAUUUAUAAACCAAGAACCACCUAAAAUAAACCCGCGAAAUUUGGAGACUGAACAUACGGGUUUUGGGUUUUAGAUUUUAAUAGGGCUUAGGGUACCCUAUGGAUUUUUACCCAUUAUUAACAUUCCUACACUGCACCAUCAGAAAUUAUUAGAAAUAUUUUCUUCAAACAUUAAAUAACCUAAACUAUUAGAAUUUUUUUAAAAUAUUCAAACCUAAUCUCUGAUUAAUCCCCAAAUUUUCCAUUUGUAAAAUUUUUUGUGGAUUCCAAUCGACAAACCUCAAUUUUGUUUUAGAAAAAAUUAGUAAGAAGAAUAAGAGAAAAAGCUUUACAGGAUAUUAUAAUAAAAAAUUUAAAUAUUUUUUCCGAAGAAUACGAAUAUUUGAUACCUUAAUAAAACUAGAUUUAUAUUAAAUAAAUUUUAUUAUAGAUUGUAUAAGAAUCUACAAUUUUAUGAAUUAUCAAUACAAUUAAAACAAAAUUUUUUUAUCUACUUACAAAUAGCCUAGGUUAAACCAUUACAUUUAACUACAUUUCCUAUUAUUUAAAUUAAAUCUAACUUAAUUAUUAUUAAAUAUACAUAUUGCCUAAAAUUGAGGAAUUAAUUAAAUAAUCAAUUAUUUUUGAAACUUUUUUUUAUCAACAAUUAUUUAUUUUUGAAACUAAUUAAUUCAAUUUAUAUGAACACUAAAUAUAAGUAUCUAAUCUUUACGGGUUUUGCAUGAUAUACUAGAAUGUUAAAUACUAAAAUUUAAGUAACUAAUCUUUACAGGUGUAUUAAAUAGUAUAUGCCAAAUUCAGUUAUUUAGUUAUCAGAAAAUGGUGGCUCUAUUAGGACUAAAAUCGAUUUUACUAUUGUGCUUAAUAAUUUGAUAGGAUAAGGCAUAUAUUUAAUAUAUAGUUAAUUUAAGUAGAAAUUACUGAGAUUCAAAUAAAUGUAAUGGUCUAAUUAUAAAUUUUUGUAAGUAGAUGUUUAAUGUUUUUGCUUUAAUACAACCCACCUUUUGUAAGAACUAGGGCAGGCGGGUUAAAAAAUAAUAUAAAUUACUUAAGAUGCUUAAUUUAUUUUUAACUGAAAUUAAAAUUAAUUUUAACGUUUUUUAUUAAAUUUUUUUAUUAAAACAUUUUAUCUAUUUAUUUGACUAUUUAAUUUAAAAGUGUAAAUUUAUUAAUUAAUGAAAGUUUUAUUGAAAUUAUUAUUUUGUUUUUAAAUGUUUUUUUAAUUUAACUAUUGUAAUAGUUAAAAUUAAUUUUAAAAAUUGGUCGAUGAGUUUAGGGAAGUUAUAAGUAAUAAAUAAUAAGUAUUGAGAAGUUUAGACUACAUAAAAAUUCAAAAAUGAUCAUUACUAUUUAAAAUAUUAUAGAUGUUUGUUCGACUCUUAAAAUAUAUAUAGAUGAUGUUUGAAAAUAAAAUAAAUCACAUAAUCUAAGUAAGUCAUGAUUAGAAUUUUAAAAAUAAAUGGCACUUGGCAAUUAGUAUAGUAUAAUUCUUACACUUUACUAUAUAUAAUUAACUCAUUAUAUAUUAAUUAAUAAUUUUUAUUAUAUAUUCUGAUUUCAUUUAAAAUAUAUUAUUUAUGUAUAACAUGCUAAAGUAUUUUUAUUAUAAUUUUGGAUUAUAUAAUAUUUAUUUAAUCAGAUUUAUUCUUUUAAAUAAGAAGUUUUUAAACUUAAAAGAUUGGAAAGUAAAUUAUUUACUAUAUUAUUUUAAUAAUUUAUUUUAAAUAUAUGAUCAAUUGUUAAAUGAAAAUGAGUAAUUGUUUUUUAAUUUAUUCACAUAUAUAUUAAAUUAUUAAAAAAUGAAAAACAUUUGAUUAUUUUUUCAAAUCAAUAUAUAUAUUUUUAAUUAUGUAAAAUAAAAGAUUAUAAUGUUAUGGUAUACAUGGGGAGGAUGAUGACAUUCAUAAAGCUAUUUUUAAACAUAAUAUGAUUUUUAAAUACUUAAAUUAUAAUUAUAUUUGUAGAAUUGAAUUUGUUAGUUGUUAGAAGUGAUGAAAAUUGUUUUUCUUUAUAAAGACUAUGGAUCGUUACCCGCGCCAAGGCGCAGAGUUUUUGCAUUUUAAUCUAUUUUUGUCUCUUACUUACUAAUCUAGCAUUCAGUUUUUCAAUGCAUUUUAUCUUCACCAUCUUCUCUUGUCUUGUUUACAUUUGUUUUCAUGUUCUGUCGUUUGAUUUGUCUUAGUUUUGGCUUGUGUAAUAAUUUAACCCUGCUCAUUCUUCUUUCAUUCUUUAUUGAUUGAUAUUUUUAUCUCGCAUAGCUCUGUGUUGCCACUAAUUUGCUCGAAUCAUUUUUCUUCAUCUGCUUCAUAUUCUUUUCAUAUUCAUUAACUAUUGUCUCCAAUCUCUUUAAAUCCUACAUGUUCUUUUGUUUAUUAAAUCAAAUAUUAAAUAUUGUUGAAACUGUUUAUUUAUUCUAAUAAAUCCUUACGAUUAUAACUAAGAUGAUAUGGAUAAAAGACUGAUUAUAAUUUAGUUGAAAUUAAAGUCUAAAGUAGAAGUUAUUAAACUUGCAAUCCUUCUUUUUGUCAUCCAAAAUAGCUUUAGUCAAAUCAAUUAUAUUGAUUUAUAAAACCCAUAAGCUAUUUCAAUCCCAAACAAUAAAAAACAGGCGCAUUUGUUAUUGACGCUGCGGCGGGUUUCCUUUACUAUAAAUAUAACUGUUUGUCACAACUGUUAAUAAACCCAAAUGUGUUUACAAAAGCUACACAUAUAAGAGUUUCAUACUCAUUUCUCUUUCUCUAGUCAUCUCUUAUGUUUGUAGCUAUCAUAAUACAAUCAUCAAACAAAUGACGUAUCUCUUGGUUCCAUAAAAAAUAUGCAAAAUGACUGUUUUUUGCAGACUCCAUGAUCACUGAGUAUUAUAAAUAUCAAACUCUGUCUAUGGUCUAUUUAUAUGUUGAGAAAAUGUCUCGAAAUGUAGCCUCCAAAUAAUGAUUUCCAGGUCAACACACUGCAUGUGAACCUCCACAAUGGGAUCAUCGGAUCUGCAGAUACCGCUACAUGUCGAGUCGAACAUAGCUACACAUAUGUUCCCUGCUUGUGCCUUUCUAUUUUGAAAAUAUUUACAGAACCAUGUCAUUCCUUUUUUAAAAAACUUUUAUGCUUUUUUAAUUUUUAAAAUAUAUUAUCCAUAACCUUUAAAUCUAACUACAAUUUAUUUUAAAAUUUCUUUUCUUUUCCCUUUCUUUCGGAUCAAGCUAAUUAAAAACACUCACAUUUUUGUUGGCUCUAUCAACAACACUCACAUUUUUUUUUUUUGCUAAGUAACACUUGCGUUUCAAUAUAAAAAACGUUUAUUGUACAAUCGCUGUCACAUAUUGGAUACUGCAUUUUUCAACAUUUAAACUAUACAUUAUUAUACACAUCAGUGUUUCAACCAUGUUCCAAAACCUGUUCUUCGCGGCUAUAUACACAUCAGUGUUUCAACCAUGUUCCAAAACGGGUUCUUGGCGGCCGAUUAAAUCCCAGCGAAACUCUAUUCGACGGUUGGCCAAGGCGAUUUUAUCAUAUGCAGUCACACUAUCGGUUACGAGAAUUGUUUCUUUUUAAGUUUUGAGAGUAUAAAACGAGAUAAUUGGCCAAGGCGAUUUUAUCAUAUGCAGUCACACUAUCGGUUACGACACUUGUUUCUUUUUAUGUUUUGAGAGUAUAAAACGAGAUAUUAGAUGAUAUAUAUUAUGAGUUAAAACAUAAAAAGAUGUAAUUUCGAUGAAUUACGUGAAAAUAUCUUUAUUACCGCUAUGGAAGUGCAGUAGUGAUCGUAAGAUCUGGAGGAAAUUAUUAGGUAUGACGAAGCGAAUUGACCAUGUUACCCUACAUUAAAAGGAAAAAAAAAAUCUUAAAAUGGAACAAAACCGAGCUCAGUAGCGUUAAAUCUAAUAUGACUACUUCUAUUUUGAAAAUAUUUACUGAACCAUUUCACUCCUUUUUUUUAAACUUUUAUGCUUUUUUUAAUUAUUAAAAUAUAUUAUCGAUAACCUUUAAAUCUAACUGCAAUUUAUUUUAAAUUUUCAUUUCUUUUCCCUUCCUUUCGGAUCAAGCUAAUUAAAAUUACUCACAUUUUUGUUGGCUCUAUGAACAACACUCACGUUUUUUUUUUUUGCUAAGUAACACUUGCGUUUCAAUAUAAAAAACGUUUAUUGUACAAUCGCUGUCACAUAUUGGACAAUGCAUUUUUCAACAUUUAAAAUAUACAUUAUAUACACAUCAGUGUUUCAACCAUGUUCCAAAACGUGUUCUUGGCGGCCGAUUAAAUCCCGGCGAGACUCUAUUCGACGGUUGGCCAAGGCGAUUUUAUCAUAUGCAGUCACACUAUCGGUUACGACACUUGUUUCUUUUUAUGUUUUGAGAGUAUAAAACGAGAUAUUAGAUGAUAUAUAUUAUGAGUUAAAACAUAAAAAGAUAUAAUUUCGAUGAAUUACGUGAAAAUAUCUUUAUUACCGCUAUGGAAGUGCAGUAGAGAUUGUAAGAUCUGGAGAAAAUUAUUAGGUAUGACGAAGCGAAUUGACCAUGUUACCCUACAUUAAAAGGAAAAAAAAAUCUUAAAAUGGAACAAAAACGAGCUCACUAGCGUUAAAUCUAAUAUGACUGCUUCUAUUUUGAAAAUAUUUACUGAACCAUGUCACUCAUUUUUUUUAAAACUUUUAUGCUUUUUUAAUUAUUAAAAUAUAUUAUCGAUAACCUUUAAAUCUAACUGUAAUUUAUUUUAAAUUUUCAUUUCUUUUCUCUUCCUUUUGGAUCAAGCUAAUUAAAAUUACUCACAUUUUUGUUGGCUCUAUCAACAACACUCACGUUUUUUUUUUUUUUUGCUAAGUAACACUUGCGUUUCAAUAUAAAAAACGUUUAUUGUACAAUCGCUGUCAUAUAUUGGAUACUGCAUUUUUCAACAUUUAAAAUAUACAUUAUUAUACACAUCAGUGUUUCAACCAUGUUCCACAACGUGUUCUUGGCGGCCGAUUAAAUCCCGGCGAGACUCUAUUCGACGGUUGGCCAAGGCGAUUUUAUCAUAUGCAGUCACACUAUCGGUUACGACAAUUGUUUUUUUUUUUAUGUUUUGAGAGUAUAAAACGAGAUAUUAAAUGAUAUAUAUUAUGAGUUAAAACAUAAAAAGAUGUAAUUUCGAUGAAUUACGUGAAAAUAUCUUUAUUACCGCUAUGGAAGUGCAGUAGAGAUCGUAAGAUCUGGAGAAAAUUAUUAGGGAUGACAAAGCGAAUUGACCAUGUUACCCUACAUUAAAAGGAAAAAAAAUCUUAAAUUGGAACAAAAACGAGCUCACUAGCGUUAAAUCUAAUAUGACUGCUUCUAUUUUGAAAAUAUUUACUGAACCAUGUCACUCCUUUUUUUUAAUACUUUUAUACUUUUUUUUAAUUAUUAAAAUAUAUUAUCGAUAACCUUUAAAUCUAACUGCAAUUUAUUUUGAAUUUUCAUUUCUUUUCCCUUCCUUUCGGAUCAAGCUAAUUAAAAACACUCACAUUUUUGUUGGCUCUAUCAACAACACUCACGUUUUUUUUUCCCUAAGUAACACUUGCGUUUCAAUAUAAAAAACGUUUAUUGUACAAUCGCUGUCACAUAUUGGAUAAUGCAUUUUUCAACAUUUAAAAUAUACAUUAUUAUACACAUCAGAGUUUCAACCAUGUUCCAAAACGGGUUCUUGGCGGCCGAUUAAAUCCCGGCGAGACUCUAUUCGACGGUUGGCCAAGGCGAUUUUAUCAUAUGCAGUCACACUAUCGGUUACGAGAAUUGUUUCUUUUUAAGUUUUGAGAGUAUAAAACGAGAUAUUUGAUGAUAUAUUUUGAGUUAAAACAUAAAAAAUGUAAUUUUGAUAAAUUACGUGAAAAUAUCUUUAUUACCGCUAUGGAAGUGCAGUAGAUAUUGUAAGAUCUAGAGAAAAUUAUUAGGGAUGACGAAGCGAAUUGACCAUUUUACCCUACAUUAAAAGGAAAAAAAAUCUUAAGAUAGAACAAAAACGAGCUCCGCUCGGGUUGAACUCAGGUAAAGUGGAGUGACACUUCAGUACCACUGGACCAUCAGAAACUUUUGGAAAUAUUCUCUUCAAACGUUAAAUAACCUAAACUAUUAUAAUUUUUUUUAAAAAAUAAUAACUAAUUUCUGAUUAAUCCCUAAAUUUUUCAUUUGUAGAAAUGUUUGUGGAUUCCAGUCGACAAACCUCACAAUGUUUUUUUAAAAAAAAAUCAGUAAGAAGAAUAAGAGAAAAAGCUUUACAGGAAAUUAUAGUAAAAAAUAUAAAUAUUUUUUAUCCGAAGAAAUACAAAUAUUUGAUAUCUUAAUAAAACUAGAUUUCUGUUAAAUAAAUUUAAUUAGAAAUUGUAGAAGAAGCUAUAAUUUUAUGAAUUAUCAAUACAAUUAAAACAUUAACAAUUUUUAUCUACUUACAAACAGUCUAGUUUGAACCAUUACAUUUAACUACAAUUCCUAUUAUCUACAAUUAAAUCUAACUUAAUUAUUAUUAAAUAUACACAUUGUCUAAAAUAUACAAAAGAUCAAAAGAAGUAAUGAGAGAUGCAUUGAAUGAAAAAAUCGUUAGAGAAGUGGAGACGACGCUUGGAUUAAGAGAAGUAAAUUAUCAACUAUUUGGGAAAUUAAUUUAUUGAUUAAUUAAAAUGAUUCAAUUAAAAAUGUUAGAUAACUUAUUUUAGAUUUUAUGCAUAUAAAUAUUCAGAUAUUUUCGGACAAUUUCGGGUGGUUCAAAUGCUUUUUAAUAAAAAAAAUUCAAAAACUUUUGGAUACUUUUAAUAGAGUUUUGAAGUGUACAGAUAUAUAUAUAUAGAUAUAUGUGUAUAUAAAAUUAACAUAAUUUUUUUUUAUGAAUUUGGAUAUUCAUUUGAUUUUCUGUUCGGUUUAGCUUUGUUUAUUUUGGAUAUAGAAAUAUAAUAAACAUUCAGAUAUUUAGGGUUUUGGUUUAGUUCCGGUUUAGAGCAUUUCAGAUUCAUUUGGGUUUGGGUCUUGGAUUCUGUUUUUUUCCUAGACCUAUUACGGACUAUAAUAUCUAUCAUCUGCAUAUGGCAGCCAAACAUAUACUUUGUCUUAGUGUCGGCUCUAGUUACUUUAGUUUAGGCAGGCAAACGGAACAUGAGAACAAGAAUCUCUUAGAAAUCAACGACUAAUGUUUCCAAAUUCUAAUAAGAAUAUCUUUAUGGAAAACAUGAUAAAACAGAAUUUUUUUAACAUGUUUCUGCAAUAGCAAACAACAUGAUAAACUGAUGAUGGUUGUUAUCAUUAUUCAAUGGUAGCCAAUCUAAAUUCAAGAAAAAGAUAAAAAAAACAAGAGUAACAAAAUUAAAAACGCACCAAACAUCAAAAGGACACAAAGCAAGCAAGCAUCCAUUGUAGUUGGAAAAUAUCUCUGUCAGAUCUAUUUAAUCUGACCGCAGUCGAUCACGACGGGCUUGGAAAGCUUGUCCUUAAGAGGUUCGUGUGAUAUGAUCCUGACCACAUCCAAUCCUUCAACAACUUGGCCGAAGACGACGUGUACAUCGUCGAGUUCUCAGUUCUCAGUCAAGGAGAUCAAAAACUGAGAUUGGUUGGUGUCAGGACCACCGUUGUUAAAACUUUUAUGCUUUUUUAAUUAUUAAAAUAUAUCAACGAUAUAUAUUAUAAUACAAAGUUUUAUUAUAUCAAAAAUAUAAUUUUUAACAGUUAUAUAAUCUACGAAUUAGUUUAUUUGAGAUUUUAUAUGUACAAUUUUACGUAAGUUUGUUUUAGGCAUGAUAAUUAUAUCCGGAUAAAAAAGCAAACCGAACCGACCCAAAAAUAUAAGUGUAGUUCAGGUCCAGAGAAGAUAACCUAUUGAGUUUUUUUUGGACCCGCAUGUCUUUGUUUGAGUCCGGAUCCUACUCUAGAUCCGAUCAUAAAUAUGUUGUGUUUAUUAGGUAUAUUUGAAUAUUUCAAAUAUAUUUCCUGUAAUAUGGGCAUUUUUUUAAGUUUUUGGUUUACGAUUAUAGUUUUUGAUUUCAGGUAAAUUAUAGUUUUUAAGUCCUUCACCAGCCGGAAUGUUUAUGUUGAUGGUAAAUCCACCGGCCAUUCUCUGAGUUUGGAUCUAAGAAAUUAUAUAGGUUUCCUGGGGCUGGGAGGAGUUAUCGAGAGAGAGAGACAACAUAUAGUAGUUCCAAUGAAAAUAAACAGUAAAGUGAAGGAAGAUCGUCGGCCGUAUUUGUAGAUUUUUUAAACUGUAUUUUAGGUUAACUGUGGUUAAAUCUAAUCCCACUAGCGUUAAAUAUAAUAUGACUGCUUCUAUUUUGAAAAUAUUUACAGAACCAUGUCACUCCUUUUUUAAAAAACUUUUAUGCUUUUUUAAUUAUUAAAAUAUAUUAUCCAUAACCUUUAAAUCUAACUACAAUUUAUUUUAAAAUUUCUUUUCUUUUCCCUUUCUUUCGGAUCAAGCUAAUUAAAAACACUCACAUUUUUGUUGGCUCUAUCAACAACACUCACGUUUUUUUUUCCCUAAGUAACACUUGCGUUUCAAUAUAAAAAACGUUUAUUGUACAAUCGCUGUCACAUAUUGGAUACUGCAUUUUUCAACAUUUAAACUAUACAUUAUCAUACACAUCAGUGUUUCAACCAUGUUCCAAAACGGGUUCUUGGCGGCCGAUUAAAUCCCAGCGAAACUCUAUUCGACGGUUGGCCAAGGCGAUUUUAUCAUAUGCAGUCACACUAUCGGUUACGAGAAUUGUUUCUUUUUAAGUUUUGAGAGUAUAAAACGAGAUAUUAGAUGAUAUAUAUUAUGAGUUAAAACAUAAAAAAAGAUGUAAUUUCGAUGAAUUACGUGAAAAUAUCUUUAUUACCGCUAUGGAAGUGCAGUAGAGAUCGUAAGAUCUGGAGAAAAUUAUUAGGGAUGACGAAGCGAAUUACCAUGUUACUCUACAUUAAAAGGAAAAAAAAAUCUUAAAAUGGAACAAAAACGAGCUCCACUCGGGUUGAACUCAGGUAAAGUGGAGUGACGCUUCAGUACCACUGGACUAGGGAUAUUGUCAUGGGUAAAAUAACUUUUCUUUUCCCUUCCUUUCGGAUGAAGCUAAUUAAAAACACUCACAUUUUUGUUGGCUCUAUCAACAACACUCACGUUUUUGUUUUUGUUUUUUUCUUUCUUAAGUAACACUUGCGUUUCAAUAUAAAAAACGUUUAUUGUACAAUCGCUGUCACAUAUUGGAUACAACAUGUUUCAACAUUUCAACUAUACACUAGAUUUUGAUCCGCGCUUGUAAAGCGCAGAUUUUUUAGAUUAUAUUAUAAUACAAAGUUUUAUUAUAUCAAAAAUAUAAUUUUUAACAGUUAUAUAAUCUACGAAUUAGUUUAUUUGAAAUUUUAUAUGUACAAUUUUACGUAAGUUUAUUUUAGGCAUGAUAAUUAUAUCCGGAUAAAAAAAACAAACCGAACCGACCCGAAAAUAUAAGUGUAGUUAGGUCCAGAGAAGAUAACCUAUUGAGUUUUUUUUGGACCCGCAUGUCUUUGUUUGAGUCCGGAUCCUACCCUAGAUCUGAUCAUAAAUAUGUUGUGUUUAUUAGGUAUAUUUGGAUAUUUCAAAUAUAUUUCCUGUAAUAUGGACAUUUUUUUUAAGUUUUUGGUUUACGAUUAUAGUUUUUGAUUUCAGGUAAAUUUUCAAAUUAAAAAAUUGCGUAUUUUUCAUUUCAUCAUCUCAGACUUUGAAUAAGAUUUUGAAUUUUUAGGUAUUUGAAUUUUUUUGGGUAUUUGUUUGGAGUUUCGAAUAUUUUUCAAGUUUUUUAGAUAUUUUGAUUUUUUUAAGAUCCUAAAUACCCGAACAUAUGUAGAUCCAUUACGUCCAUAUCAAGUCCAACAACCUUUUGAUAUAAAUUUUUAACGUUAUUGUACAAAAACAUGGUUGAUGAAAGAUUUUUCUGAGUAAAUGUAUCAUAAGGAAUAAUAUUAGGAUAUGUUAAAAAUAUUUAAAAUUUUGUAUGGUUAGAAUGACUAAUGGUAUCACCAAAAAAAAAUAGUUAUACAUAACUCCAACAACUUUUUUAUAUUAGAUUUUUUAAGGCUAUUUCUCCUUUAAUAAUAUUGAUUCGUUUUUAAGUGAAAAGUAUAAAAAAAUAUAAUAUCUAAACCAAUAAUUUUCAAAAUCGUGAAUAAUCAAUACUGAUAUCGUGAAGUCGGGUUAACUUUAAGAGAAUCAAUGAAUUUCUACAUUUUUGUGAAGGUAACAUGAAUAUUCAGAAAACUCAUUUUUAGAUAUGAAAAUAUCUAUCAAACCUUAGACGGUUGAAAGUUUACUAUAUGAUAUGAGAUUUUAGUGGGAAAGUUUAUAUAUUAUAUGAUUACUUUAUUAUAAAAGAAAGAGGAAGUUAGAAUGUACACAUAUAUGUUGUGUAACUUCUCUUGCUUUAAAUCAUAUAUUAUAUGAUAAAAGUGAUAAUAUAAAACAUUAGUUUCAAUGAUUUUACGAUUAAAAAUCAAAAUGGUAAAUAUAGUAAUAGUAGUGAAUAAAUAAAAAAAUUGAAUAAAUUAUUGUUAGAGAAAUAUAUGGUAACAUAUUGUUAGUCUAAAUUUAAGGUAAUACUAAAAAAUAAUGAAAUAAAUGAAAAGGUCCAAACAAUUUUUAAAGUAGAUUUAUUAAAACUUCUUCCUUUUUAAUAGUAUUGAUUAUUAUACACAUCAGUGUUUCAACCAUGUUCCAAAACGUGUUCUUUGUGGCCGAUUAAAUCCCGGCGAGACUCUAUUCGACGGUUGGCCAAAGCGAUCUUGUCAUAUGCAGUCACACUAUUGGUUACGACAAUUGUUUCUUUUUGAGUUUUGAGAGUAUAAAACGAUAUAUUAGAUGAUAUAUUAUGAGUUAAAACAUAAAAAGAUGUAAUUUCGAUGAAUUACGUGAAAAUAUCUUUAUUACCGCUAUGGAAAUUACAGUAGACAUCGUAAAAUUUAGAGAAAAUUAUUAGGGAUGACGAAGCGAAUUGACCAUGUUACCCUACAUGAAAAGAAAUAUUUUUUUUCGAAGAAAUACGAAUAUUUGAUAUCUUAACAAAAACUAGAUUUAUAUUAAAUAAAUUUAAUUAUAGAUUGUAUAAGAAGCUACAAUUUUAUGAAUUAUCAAUACAAUUAAAAUAUAAACAAUUUUUAUCUACUUACAAAUAGUCUAGGUUGAACCAUUCCAUUUAACUACAUUUCCUAUUAUUUACAAUUAAAUCUAACUUAAUUCUUAUUAAAUAUACAUAUUUCCUAAAAUUAAGGAAUUAAUUAAAUAAUCAAUUAUUUUUGAAACUAAUUAAUUCAAUUCAUAUGAAUACUAAAAUAUAAGUAACUAAUAUUUACGGGUUUUUCAUGAUAUACUAGAAUGUUAAAUACUAAAAUUUAAGUAACUAAUCUUUUCAGGUGUAUUAAAUAGUAUAUGCCAAAUUCAGUUAUGUAGUUAUCAGAAAAUGGUGGGUCUAUUAGGACUAAAAUCAAUUUUACUAUUGUGCUUAAUAAUUUGAUAGGAUAAGGUAUAUAUUUAAUAUAUAUCUAAUUUAAGUAGAAACUAGACUUUAACCCGUGCAUCCGCCCGGGUGUUUUUUGGUUUGUAAUGUCAAAUAUUUAUUAUUGUUUAGCAAUUUGUUAUAAAUUUGUAUAUGUGUGAAUAAUUUGUGAUCUUGAUAAUAGUGUAUUCUAUGUUGAUUAAAAAUUGAAGUGGUAAUUUACAUUAGUUAUUGGAUGUUUGUUUACAUCAUUAGGUUUGUAUAUAUAAGUAUAAAACCAAUUAGAAUAAAUAUUAUUAUGUUUUUAUUCAUUAAACUGUAUUGGAAAAUUAAUUGUAAAGUGUGAUUAGCAAGUUUAUACUCCAUCCAUUUCAUAAAGUUACAUAUUCUAUAGAAAGAAAACUGUUUCAAAAAGAUCAAUUUUUUACAUUUUUAAUCCAUGUUUUAUUAACUAACUAGAUUUGGACCCGUGCGUUACAACGGGCUUUGUUUGAUAUUUUAAUUUAAUAAAGAAUAUUUCAAAAAAUCAUUUUGUUAUAGUUUUAAGAUUGUUUUUCCAUAUGCUAUGUAAGAUUUAUUUUAUAAUUAAGAUUCGUUUUGACACAUAAGUUUCAGUUAAUAUUUGUUUUUUAUAAUCAUUGUGCAUAGACGAACUAUUAUCAUCUUUGUACUUAGAGUUAGAAAAAACAUUCAUACCUAAAACAAAAUUGGAAGUUACAUCAGCCAAGAAGCAAUGACAACAUUAUACACUUUCUUAUGUACUAAUUUAAUGUUUUAUUAAACUUAUCCAAUGUUAAAUAAUUUUUUUGAUUCAUUAUUUAUUAAUGAUAUAUUUUCAUAAUAACAUUUAACAAAAUAAUUAGAAAAUACUACAUAAUAAAACUAAAAAAUGUAAUAAGAUAACAAUGAAGCUUGAUUUGUUUUUGACUAAACAUAUGUACGGUUGACAAUAAUAAUAAUCAAUUUUUAUGAGCAAACAUGAAUAUAUAUAUAUAUAUAUAUAUAUCAAACAUAUGUUUGAUUUUUAGUAUAACCAAACACAUAAAUACCAAUCAUGACAACAUCCUAAUUUUUUUUGUUAAUUUAAUAGCUUUAGCAUCAUACUUGUCAUCAAUUUUUUUCCGAAAACUAUUAUGAAAUAGGUAAUUUUAUUUUUGUUAGGUUUUUUUUUUAAAAAAGGAAAAAUCAUAUUUUAAAAUCUCCUUUAUAUUUACGAUUAAAAAAGAAAAAAUAUUAUUAAAUACUUUUUUAGAAUUUUGUUUAUAAUUUUAAAAAAGGAAAAGUAUUAUCAUAUAGUAAAAUUUUAAAAUUAUCUUAUAUUUAGAAUUUCAGAAAAAUUGCUAUCAAAUAAUUAUUUCUAGUUACUAUAAAAGAAUUUUAAAAUUAUGAUUUUUACAAUUCAUCAAUUCUAUGUUUCACUUGGUUUUUAAUUAAAUAAGUUUUAGUAUCAUGUUUAUCAUCAAAUGUUCUCUUAAAAUAUUUUAAUAAAAAAAUUAUGUUUGGUUAAUUAUAUAUUGUGUCUUAUAUGAACAAACAUAUAUUCAUUUAUUCACACAUACUUACGUAAGAAAAAAACAUCAUAAUUAAAAAAAACUUAUGUUAGCAUCAUAAGAUGUAAUUAGGAUAAUAAAAAUUUUAAUUGUUUCAAAAAAUUAAAAGAAAAUACUCAGAUAAUAUUUUUCUUGUAAAUACAAUUGUUUUUUUGAAAAUUAUAUGAGGAAUCUUAAACCAAAAUAUAGAUGUGAAAAUAAUAGUUAUUUUUGUUUAUAUUUUCUUAGCAUACAAUUAUCCGUUAAAAGGAAAGCUUUUAAAAAGGAAUAUCACUUAUUUAAUAGUUAGUUUUUUCUAUUUGAUUUUUAUUAAAUAAUUCUUUGUACUUGUAGGAUUUUAUAAUUCGUUUUUAUUUAAGAUUGUAUUUUAAAAAAAAACAAAAUCACUUAUAAUUCUUUAAAAAAAACGAAAAACUAUACAAAAUAUUUUUUAAAAAAUUACUUUCAAAUUGCUUUUUACAAUUAUUCUUUUUUUAUAAAAUUUAAAAAAAUUAAAAUUGCUAUCAAAUUUUAAAAGAAUAUAAAAGAACCAUAAUUGUAAAAGACUAUGUAAUAGUAAUUUUCCUUUUCUAAGCUCCUAAAUAGAACAAUAAAAUAUAUUUUGUAAUAGUUUUCCUUAUCUAGUGUUAAAAAAAAAAGUAAUAAUAAUUUUCUUUUUAAUUAAAAUGUAAUAAUAAUUUUCUUUUUUCUAUUUUUUUUUUUAAUCUAAAACAAAAGAGAAUUGUAACAUAUUUUUGACACAUGUCACAAUCUUAAAAAAUUAAUCAACACAUGUCGCGAUAAUGUUAAUUAGCAACUUUGAAAAAACAAGAUUUAUAUAAUAAGAUAGUAAAUUUUUUAAACAAAUAAUUGUACUUAUUAGAUUUUUAUUGACUUAAAAUUAAGAAAAAAAUGUUUUAUUAAAAUGUGUGAAAAUCUAAAAUAUGUAACAUUUUGAAACGGAUGUCGUAUAUUAUUGUUAUUAAUAUGUAGCUUUAAUUUAGGGAUUUGUUCUGUUAAGAUAGUCAAUGAGUUUAGGACUCUCAAACGUUUUACUUUUAGCAUAUCGAUAGAAAAUCUGAUAUUCUUGUUUUAAUGCUUUGUCAAACUAAAUCGUUAGGAAAUCUAUAGUCAUUUAUUUUUCUGUUUGUAAAAGAUAAAUUUCAAAACAUAUUUAUUUACAAUUAUUAUAUACUAAACCAAAUGAAUUUAAAUUUUAUCUUAUUCAUGUUACACAUAUAUUCCGGUUUAAUGAUGUUCUAGUACAUUAAAAUUACUACAGUUAUGCUAUAGUUCUAGUUUUUAUUGUUAAUUCAGUUAGAUGUUGGAACUUGAUUAAAAAAUAUUGGUUUAUUAAUAUAUAAAUCAAUUUAUGCAUAUAUUGAGAUCAGUAUGAUACUUGCACUGCUCGACAUUCCGGUUUACUUAUGUUUUCGUUAAUUAAAUUUCGAGGUUAUGCAAUAGUGCUGGUUUUUAAUGUUAAUUCAAUUUAGAUGUUGGCACUUGAUUAAACAAUAUUGGUUUACUAAUAUAUAUAACCCAGUUUAUGCAUAACUGAGAUUGUAGUGCCACGAAAGAUCAAACCCAUUUAUGGUUUGAUAAAUAGAAAUACAAAUGAAAUUAUUGUGUAAUCAAAUCUUAAUGGCCUUGUUAUUCGGUUUUGUAAAAUGGCAUGAAAGCCUAACAAUAUAAUUAGUUAAGUUGUAGAGAUAAUAUCAGUGGUAAAUGUUGUAAAUACUAAGAUGAAGUAAGGACAAUUUUUUAUUUGUACUUUAGUUUUAAUAGAUUAGAUAAUUGAAAUUCAAAUAAAUGUAAUGGUCUAAUUAUAAAUUUUUAUAAGUAGAUUUUUAAUGCUUUUGCUUUAAUACAACCCACCUUUUGUAAGAAUGGGUCAAUAAUUUAAUUAGUUUUAAAAUAUAAUUAUAUAUAUAUAUAUAUAUCCAAUUGUAACAAAAUAUAAACUAAAUAUAAUAUAAACAUAAAACAUGACUAAAAUCAAUAAAUUUAAAUGUCUAAAAUGAUGAGAUUAACUUUUAAAUUUAAAAUAAACAAAAAAAUCAAAUCUUUUUAAUAACAUGUGAACAACAAAAGUAUAUAUAUAAACUAGUAUAUCUUUUUGUAAAUAGAAAUUACUAAAUUAUAAUAGACGUAUACGAGUCAUUGAUGUUCAAAUCUAUUUAUCUUUUAGUACGCAUCCUCUCAAAUAUUGAUCCAUACAAGGUAAAAAGUUAGUUUGACAAAAUAUCUGUAUAGCUAACUUUUGUAAAAUUGGAACAUCAUAUUCAUAAUAUAUCCACAUUUAUCUAAACAUUAAUGAAUAUAUUAGGAUACUUUAAAUAUAGCAACUUAAGUCAAAUUGGAUUACAUAUAGGAUCACAUGUCGGUUUAACCGGUAGCUGGUUCCAACGUUUAAUCGGUUUUUGCGGGUUUUGUAAGAUUUUUAAAUAACGAGUUUUUCUUGACCUAACCAGAUUACAUAUCGGAUCACCAAGUUUGCCAGGUUAACCAGUGGUCCGGAUCCGGGUUAGAUGUCAAAACACUAAAUAUAACGCUUCAUUUGUAAUAUUUAAACUAGAUUUCCACCCGCACAACCGUGCGGGUAUAUAUUUUCAUAUUUAUAUAUAUAGAUAUUUGUUUUACAUAAUUAUUAUAUAUUUUUAAUGUUACUCAUAUAUUUAAAUGUUUGUAUAAUUAUGCCAAAUAUAAUAAUUUUAUAGUUUUCAUGUUAUAAAUUAAAAUCAUCACAUAUAUAUGUUGCUUAUUAUAUAUUGUCUUAUUGAAUUUGCGUUUAAUUACUAAACUAAAAUUUUUAAUGCAUGAAACAACAUAUAUGAAAACAAUUUUGUAUUUAAUUUAUUAUAAUCAUGAUCCGUAAUUCAAAUCACUAGAUUUUUUUAGUAAAUUUUUAAUGUUUAUUAAUUUUAUAUAAUAAAUUACUGUAUAUUAAAGUUUAAGAUAAGUUAAUUUUUUAUACAUGUAUUAUAUAGUUUACAAAUAUUAACCCGUUCUACCAACAUAUUAUAUUUUUAGCAUAAAUAUUUUAUAUUUAUGAAAAUAAAAUAUGUUAACUUAUCAAUUUAAAAUAAAUUUAUCAUAUUUUUUUCAAUAUAACAUUUUUAUUUUAAAAUGAUAGAUAUUAUUAUAAAAUUGAUAAAAUAGGAUAUAAUUUUAUUCUUUUAGUAACAUUUCAUUACUAAUUACAAAAUUAGUUGAAAAUAUUUAUAUUCAAUUUAUGACAAUUAAGAUCUUAUUAUAAUCUUUUUCAAGAGAUUUGUUAGAAUUUUUUUUUUAAAAUUAAAAGAUAAUAUGAUUAAAGUAGUUAAAAAUAUUAUGUAUAUUAGAAUUAGUGAUAUACAUUUAAUAUAAAAUUUAAAUGAUGGUCCAAAUAAAAAUAUCACUCAUCAAAAAUAAUGAUUUUUAUUUUAUUAGAAAACAAAUUUGAAAAAAAUAAAAUAAAAAUAAAUAUUUAUUUCUAACAAAAUAUUUAAAAAUUAUUAGUAAAUGUAUUUGUGAAAUUAAUUAAUUUCAUUUUAUUUAAAUUUUCGUUUAUAAACCAAAACUAUAUUCAAUUUUAAUUUCUAAUUAUAUUUUAUGAUAAUUUAAAUUAAAACUAACUAAUUUUUGAAAGUAAAUUUAAAAAGAUUCUAAGAAGAUUUUAAAAAGAUUUUGUUAGAACAUUUUAAAUAUAUUCAUUUGUAUUUCAAAUAAAAAGAUAAAAAUAUUAAAAGAUAUAAUAAUGAACUUAUGUAAAAUAUGAUAUUUUCUAGGAAUGGUCCAAACUAAAAAAAAUCACUCAUGAAAAGAAGUCAUGACUUCUGUUUUAAUAUAUAAGAUGUAGAUACACAAUUCCUCUUAGUCGAGAGACUGGCGUUCCUCGAGAACAGAACCAGACAGACUAGCAACGCAUUCACAGACCCUCCUCCGCUCAGCCCCUCCUAUGGGUCCGCUGAUUGCUGCCUGGGAUUCCUCCUUCCCCGCCUUACUACUGACUUAAAAAUAUAUAUUGAUAUUAAAGCCCAUAAAAGAAAAGUGCAAGAGAAUACAGUGAGGUCCACAUUAACCCAAAUGUUUACAAAAGAUCAAUACAAUAUAAUAUGCUUGACAUUUCACUACAAGAAAACAUAUUUUUUACGAGGGCAGUAUUCGAGGCUAAUUCGUCGUAAACGGGGUGUUACGACGAAUUAACCUCGAAAAACGUUUUGUUGUUAAACGUCCGUCGUGACGGAGGUUUCACGACGGACGUUUCGUCGUAAAGGUAUUGUUACGUUUACGAUGAAAUAAAUUCCUCGUAAAGCAAAAGGAAAGGUUUCAUCGUAAACGACAUGUAACGCUUCAUGGUAAAGCCCACGUAAUGCUUUUGAUGUAGCACACGUAAACGAAUUCGUUGUAAAGCCCACGUAAACGUUUCGAUGUAAAACCCUCGUAAAAGUUUCGAUGUUAAUCACUCGUAAACUUUCGAUGUAAACUCCAUGUAAUGUUUACAAGGAGUUUACAAUGAUUCUUAUUAUAUUAUAUAUAAUAAAUUUAUAUUUAUAUUAAAUAUUCGAAAUUUAGAAUAUUUUAAAUUUUAAAACGAAAUAUGAAAAUGAAAAACAUAUUUUAAAAAAGUAUUUAAAAGUCAUACAAUAAUAUUUAAAUUCAUAAUACAAACCGAAAUAUAAAAAAAACUACAUAUUUUCGAAGUAGUCGGUGGGGUUGCUCGCUGUUGACGGUUUGGAUCAGACUCUUCGGGAUCCCGUACUGGCAACCCAAGAGCGGCUCGUCUCUCACUCAACAUUCUCUGCAUAGUCGGGUUUCCCACCGCCAUCACAUCUAGCAGAUCCUCAAAAGAUUCUAAACGAACCUGCUGGAUAUCCAUUCGAGCUUUCAUCUGAGAAUUCUCUUCAUCCCGUCUCGAAGUGUAUGACGAAGUUGCCCUUGCAACUUCGUUAACAGAGCCAAUGCCGACUGUCCGUCCCUUCUUUUUAGAAGCCACCUAUUAAAUUAAAACAUAUAUUAAUAUAGUUAAUUAUGUUAAAAUAUUAAAAUUAAUGUAAACAAAAAUUUUAAGUUGUACCUCUUCGAAGAUUUUGUCGACCUCUUCGGUGGUCAAUGUGACGGAUAAUCCAUCGGGAGACUGCUGGGUUAGUUGCAUCUUCUGUUCUUCAAUCUGAGCAGCCACUGCAUGGAAGGGUUUCUCAGAUGCAGAAUCCAAAAAAACUCCAUUGGAUGUGGCGAGUCAUCUUGAAUAGCUCAGACAGAGAUGGUAAGACUCCCGUCUUCUCUAACUACACAAAAAAAAUAUAUUAAAAUCUAAAUUAAUUAAAAAUUUUAAAAUAAAUAUUAAAAACAAAACUUACAGCUUCUACACGGAUUCCUGCAUGAGGUUUUUGUACGGUUCUGUGAACCAUGGGCAAAUGACCAUUUUUAUCCUUCGUUCUUCGAGAAGCAGAGCACGAAUUGGCCUUAUCGAAGAGGGUAGCUUCCAAUAGGCGAUGUGGCCAUCCCACACAUCCGUCGUGAGUUCAGUGGGCUUUUCCUCAUACCUGUAGAUCUCCCACUUGUCCUUCCAAUCGGAGAGAGUGUUGCAAAGGCGGGUCUUUGCCUUUGCAAUGAAUUCCCUCUUCACCCUCUCGGUGAUUCCCAAAGACCAACGCCACUUUUGCUGAAACAUAAAAAAUUUGAAGAAAUUACAAUUAAUAAUAAAUAUUUAAAAAUAAAAAGUAAUAUUUAAAAGUGAAAAUUUAAUUAAAUUUAAAAAUCUUACCGCAAAACAUUUAAAACAAGUGGUCUUAACGUGAUCUGGUGUCAUGCUCCAGUUCAGAUAUGCGCCAUCGUAGUAACCCUUCAUCGUCUCUGAAACGCUCCGGCUAACACGGUUGUUAGCCCCAAACCUGAAACAAAAAACAAUUUAAUUGUUAGAAAAUAAAAAUAAUUUAAAUUUUAAUGUAAUAAAAAUUAAUAACUUACCAAAAAUUUUCUGGCGGUCUAUCAGGGUCUAGAACUUCCAAACCCUCCUGUCCAGGAUGGACAAGCAAAUCCUCCUCCGUAUAUCUCGCGUUUGGUGCAUAUGAAGGCAUACGCAAGUCUGGAUGAACUGCACUUGCUGGGGCAGGCUGAGGUGCAGCCGCUGGAGGAGGAGGUGGAGGCUUCUGCGGUGGAGGAGGAGGACUCCAAGAAACUCUCUGAGAAGUCUGAGAGUCUAGAACUGCAUCGGAAGAUGAUGGACCGGAAGAAGAUGCUCCGGAACUAUCGCCAAGCAACUGAGAAUAAGUAGGUGCUGCUGGUUUCCUCCUAGGAGCCAUCUAAAAAAAAAUUAAAAUAAAUUUAAUCAAUUACGAUAUAAUUAAAAUAUUAUUCUGUCACCUAACUAAUCACCUAAACUAUUAUUCCGUCACCUAACUAAUCACCUAAACUAAUUACAUAACUAACCACCUAAACUAACUAACUAAAAAAAAAGAGAGAGAGGGGUUUACCUUAGAGGGAAAGAGCAAAGGAGUUUGGGGCCUCGAUCUGCGGCGUCUCAAUAUAUAGAGAAAGGCAUUCGUCGUAAACUCCACGUAAUGUUACGACGAAGUUAUCAGACCCGUGUUUUUUCAUUUACGAUGAAGUUACCAGGCGUGUCUUUUUUCAUUUAUGACAAAAUUACGAGGAAUCGAUUUAGGACGAAGUUACCAGGCUUGUCUUGUUUCAUUUACGACGAAGUUACCAGUCCCGUGUUAUUUUUACAAGGACUUUACUACGCUUAACCCUAAACCCCGAGAAUGAAUUCCCUAAACCCCAAAGUCACAUAUCAUCUUACAUCAUCAUCUUCUUCUUUACUUUUUCAUACUCUUUCUCCAACUUAAACCCUAAAACUCCAAAUAAUUUUUUAAAAUCUAAAGAAAUACAUAUUAUGUAAAACAACAUUUGUUGCACAUACAUUAAAAUGAUAUAAAAACAAUAUUUCCUUCAACAAACAUUACAAUAGAGAAAUACAACAUUUGUUACAUAUAUUACAUCACUCUAAAUCGUUUUCGUUCUCAUCAAUAUUACAUCACUCUAAAUCGUUUUCGUUCUCAUCAAUAUCAGUACAAUCAUCAUCGUCGCUUCCCUCAAACUCGUCUGCACGUGCUUCAUCUGUCGCAUCUUCGGGAAGAUCAUCAUAUUGAAAGUUUUCCAGGUCGAUCAAUAGGAUUUCAUCAGUUUGUUGUUCAGGUACCUAAACUUCAGUGAUAGCGUCUUCUUCUUGAAAAGGCGGUUAUUCUCCAGCGACAAUGCGUCCAUGAGGUGUAAUUUUGAUAGCAGUUAACCAGUUUAUCCCGGAAGUUCGAAAGCGAGGAUAAGGAAGGAAGCUAACUUGGUCGCCUUGUGAAGCUAAAAUGAAAGGAUCAAAUUUGUUGUAUCUUCUCCCAAAAUUGACAUCCACAACACCAAAUUUGUUUUACCGAAUCCCUCGGUUCACAACAGGAUCGAACCAUUCACAUUUGAAGAGGACGCAUUUUAGCUUAAAUAACCCCAGAAAUUCCACUUCAAUAAUCUCAUGUAAGAUCCCGUAUACGAGUCAUUGAUGCUCAAAUCUAUUUAUCUUUUUAGUAUGCAUCCUCUCAAAUAUUGAUCCAUACAAGAUAAAAAAUCAGUUUGACAAAAUAUCUGUAUAGCUAACUUUUGAAAAAUUGGAACAUCAUAUUCAUAAUAUAUCCACAUCUAUCUAAACAUUAAUGAAUAUAUUAGGAUAAUUUAAAUAUAGCAAUUUAAGUGAAAUUGGAUUACAUAUUGGACCACAUUUCGGUUUAACCGGUAGCUGGUUCCAGCGUUUAAGCGGUUUUUGCGGGUUUUGUUAGAUUUUUAAAUAACUAGUUUUUCUUGACCUAACCAGAUUACAUAUUGGAUCACCGGGUUUGCCGGUUUAACCAUUGGUCCGGCUCCAGGUUAGAUUUCAAAACACUAAAUAUAACGCAUCAUUUGUAACAUUUAAAUGUAGAUACACAAUCCCUCUCAGUUGAGAGACAGGCGUUCCUCGAGAACAUGACCAGACAGACUAGCAACACAUUCACAGACCCUCCUCUGCUCCGCCCCUCCUAUGGGUCUGUGGAUUGCUGCCUGGGGUUCCUCCUUCCCCGCCUUACUACUGACUUAAAAAUAUAUAUUGAUAUUAAAUCCCAUAAAAGCAAAGUGCAAGAGAAUACAGUGAGGUCCACAUUAACCCAGAUGUUCAUAAAAGAUUAAUACAACAUAAUAUGUUUGACACUUGUAUUAUCCUUUGUUCAAAAACGCGGUCUGUGUGCCCGAUUAAGCAGCCACCAAAGUGAAUCUCACUGUUCCUUCUUAAGAUCUAUUUUAUAUAUUCUUUAAACUAUAUAAAAGUCCUAAAUUUACGUCCGAUUAAUCCUUUUAUAAUCUCCUAUUAAUUGAUUUGGCGCUAGGCCCUACCGACCGCACGAGUUACGUCUAGCAUAAUUACAAAUAAGGUUGUAUGUAAUAUGGGAACGUAUGGAGCACGUGGCAGAACAGAUCUCUGCUUCACAAUUUUUUUGUCUCCGUCUGCAGUCGACGAUGUUCAACCACUGUCUUCAUCAUCUUGCAGUUGCUAUAUAUUUAAGUGAAUAUGUGUAAUGUUUCAUAUGAUCCAUUGUAAUUGUUUGUAUGAAAAAUUGCAACUAUAUCAAUAUUGCAUUGCUACUAUUGAUGAUUGUAAUAUUUGGUGAUUAACUAUAUUGAUAAUUGUUUUGAUGAUUAACUAUUGUAACGCUUUACUAACCAUUGCAACUCUUGAUUAACCUUUACAAUUCUUGGUCUAUCCAUUGCAAAUAUUAUUUGAACCACUUCAUUCUCUAUAUAAGGAUAGAAAAACAAGAAACUAGUUGUUAGUAAGAGAGAGAGAUACAAAAAGUCAUAGUCAAAGAUCUUUGAAGAAACACAUAUAAACACUAAAGUUUUUAUGUUUCUCUUGUACAUUAGCAUAAAACAAGAGUGAGACUUUGAUUGUCUUAUCAUACAAAGGGAUUUCGUAUUUACACAAUACUUGGAAUAUGGUCGAAAUACUCUUUAAGGAAAGUGACCUCGUGCGUGAUUCAUUCAUUAUCCAAAUAAUAAUUCACAACUUUUCGGGUUUCAACCCAAUUAAAUUUUGGUGAGAAGCUGUGCUAACAGCUUGCUAUUUAUUAAAUAGAGUUCCUAAGAGAAAAAAAAAUAGAGGUCCUAAUAAAAGGAACAAACUUACCCCUUAUGAAUUUUAGUAUAAGAACAAAAAACAAAGUUGAACUAUCUUCGAGUUUGGGGAUGUACAGCUGUCAUAAGGCUACUCUAACCCAAGAUUAGAACCUUGCGAGAAAGAAGGAUUGAUUUCUUUUUUUUAUUAUUAUAUAUGCAGAUAAUUCCAAGGCUUAUAGGUUUUAUGUAAUAUAACAUAAUAAUUCAAUAUCUGUACAUACUGUAAUUGAAUAAAGAGAUGUAAUAUUUGAUGAAAACUGUUUUUUUUUAUCUAUACAUAUACCAAAGGAUUUGGUUCCAAAUUCAAGUGAAGCUAAUAAAGGAGACGAAACAUUUGUUCCUCCUAAAAUUCACAUGUGCUUCGUAGGAGCAAGCAAGGAAGGAUAGAAAAAAUCAUUUGGUCUUGAUUUUCAAAUAUAUUUAGUUGAGGGAUCAAGAAAUGAGAUUGUUUCUGACACUCAUAUUGUUAUCAUAUUGAUAAUGAUCCCAUAAUUUAUAAUGUGGUUAUGAACUCUCAAGAUAUUGCUUUUCGGAAAGAAGCAAUAAAUGAUGACUGCCAAAAUAGAGAGAAGAGUUUCGUUUAUUGAAUGGCUAAACCUAAGAGAUAAGACUAAGGAAACAAGAUAACUUUCAUAACAAGAUAUGGAAUAUUUCCAAUAUAGUUGACUAUAUCGUAAUACUCCCCCUCAAGUUGGAGCGUGGAGGUCACAAACGACUAACUUGCCUAGUAGAUAUGUAAACUGUUGUCUUCCAAGUGCUUUGGUGAGUAGAUCGGCACGCUGCUCAGUUGUCCUGACAUGUGAUGUAGCAACGGUUCCGCUUUUUAUCUCAUCGCGAAUAAAAUGACAAUCCUUUUCGAUAUGCUUGGUACGUUCGUGAAACACAAGAUUUGCUGCUAUGUGUAGAGCUGAUUUGCUAUCACAAAUAAGUUUCAUAGGAUCGUGAUGACUGAUGCCAAUCGAUUCAAGUAGCUCUUUUAUCCAGAGAAGUUCUUGAACUGCAGCUGUCAUGGAUCUAUAUUCAGCUUCUGCAGAGGAAAGAGAGAUGCGAUCUUGUUUCUUUGUUUUCCACGACACUACAGAGUCCCCUAGAAGGACGACAUAGCUGCUGAGAGAGCGUCGAGUUCUUGGACAAGCACCCCAAUCAGAAUCACAAUAAGCUGUUACGCGGAGGUCAGAGGUUGACGAGCGUAAAAUGCCUUGUCAUAUGAAAUAAUACUUGGAUCUUGUCAGAUCUCCCACUCAGUUGCAAGCUUUAGGCUGCAAAUGAAUAUUCAAAAGAAAGAUGAAAGUUGAUGGAACCAUAGACAAGUUUAAAUCUUGAUUGGUUAUUCAAAGCUAUAAACAAAGUGAAGGUAUUACUUAUUUUGAUACAUAUGCUCCAGGUGCUAGGAUCAAUUCUAUAAGAUUAUUUAUAGCUUUGGCAGCAAUUAUUAACCUUGUGAUUCACCUAAUGGAUGUUAAGACAGCAUUCUUAAAUGGUAUUCUGGAAGAAGAGGUGGAUAUGAAGCAACCUGGAGAUUUUAUUAUGUCUGGAAAUGAGCAUACGGUGUGUAAGUUGAUCAAGUCAUUGUAUGGGCUAAAGCCAGCACCUAAGCAGUGGCAUCAAAAGUUUUAUGAGGUUGCUUAUCUAGUGGUUUCAAUUCAAACCAAUCGGAUAAGUGUUUAUAUAGAAAAUUUGAUGAAAUCAGUAACAGAGUAAGCACUUGCUUAUAUGACUUGCUUAUAUGUUACAUGUUGAUCUUUGGUACUUGUAUUAGACAAGUAGAGCAUACAAAAGAUUUUUUGUAAUCAAUUUUUUCAAUGAAAGACAUAGGGGAGCCAGAUGUGAUUCUUGGAAUUAGAAUCAAACAUGGAAAGAAAGAACUAUCUCUAACACAAUCUCAUUACAUUGAGAAUUUUUUAAAAAAAUUCAAUUUUGAGAAUUGUUCUCCAAUGAGCACUCCCAUAGAUGCGAGUGUGAAGGGUAUGCCUAAUACAUGACAAGCAGUAUCACAACUCUAGUAUUCACAAGUGAUUGACUGUUUAAUGUAUGUCAUGGCGAGCACUAGACCAUAUGUAGCUUAUAAUGUAGGGAGGUUGGUAGAUUCACUAGUAAUCGUAGUACUCAACAUUAGCAAGCUUUAAAAAAAGGUGCUCAAGUAUUUGAAAGGAACAAUUAAUUAUGGUUUGUCAUAUGUCGGAUUUCCUUCGGCGCUAGAAGGAUAUUCAGACUCAAGUUGGAUUACCAACACCGAAGAUCAUUCUUCUACAAGCGGUCAGGUGUUUUUUUUUUCUUGGGGGAUGUGCCAUUUCAUGGGAUUCUAAGAAGCAAACUUGCAUUACAAGUUCGACUAUUGACUUAGAAAUCGUAGCAUUAGUACCUGUUGGCAGAGAGGCAGAAUGGCUAAGAAACUUUGUGUACGGGAUUCCACUAUGCCUGAAACCAGUAUCACCAAUUUCUAUCCAUUGUGAUAUUCAAGCUACCUUGGCUAAGGCCUCUAGCCAAGUGUAUAAUGGUAAGUCUAGACACAUGGACAUUAGACAUAGAAAAUUACAUGAGCUGAUCACUCACGAGGUGAUUACAGUAGAGUUUGUUCGGUCUCAACAAAAUAUAGCUGAUCGUUUGACGAAAGGAUUAGCUAUGAACUUAGUAAUUAUUUCGGUUAAGGGGAUGGGUUUGAAGUCAAUUUGAAAAUGUUGAUUUGGGGAUAUCCAACUUCCCUCUAUACGAAGUUAGAAGCUGAAUUCAAUGUGGAAAGCCUACACUUAAAGAUUGAAGCAUUGUUUUAAUCAUCCCAAGGAAUGUGUUUGGACCUGCAAGAAAGGGAUAUGUUGAAAUUUUGUUCUUAAUAAAUACUUUGAAAAAGUGCAUUUGCAGAUGAAUAACUAAAAGUAUUUACUUAUAUGAGUGUGAAGUGAUGCCGCUUCAGUAAGCUAGGAUUUGGCUUUGUAUGCGCUCAUUAUGGAUAGGGACACAUGUCUUAUAAUAGCGUUAAGUGUAACACUUAGAGUAGUAUGGAAACACGUGUGUGUUAUCUUCAUGUGCCCAAAAUUGGUUAAGGGAUUCAAUAUAUAGGACAUCGUGAUUUUUGGGCAUUUGAAAUGUGUAAUACACUAAGUUGAAAAUUCAAUUUUUGAACAUUUUCAUUUAUGCAUUAGUUUAAUAUAUAUAUUAUUCAUUUAAUGAAUUUAUUAUGGCACUUAAAUGUGGGAGGAUUGUUAUAUAUUUAAAUGAAUAUGUGUAAUGUUUCAUGUGAACCAUUAAUAAUUGCAACUAUAUUAAUAUAACAUUGCCACCAUUGAUGAUUGCUUGGUGAAUAACCAUAUUGACAAUUGUAACAUUUGGUGAUUAACUAUUGUAACUCUUUACUAACCAUUGUAACUUUUCAUUAACCUUUGCGAUUUUUGGAUUAAUCAUUGCAACCGUUGGUUGCAAUUGUUCACUCUCUAUGCGAGGAGGCUUAGUAAUUUGCAAAUGAAAUAGAAAAACAAGAAACUAGUUGUUAAUCAGAGAGAUAGAAAGUUUCAUUGUUCAAAGAUCAUCAAAGAUCUUUGAAGAAACACAUAUAAACAAUAAAACUCUUUCUGUCUUAUCGUAUAAAGAGAUUUUGUGUUUACAUUAUAGAACAAGAGAUUUUGUGUUUAUAUCAUAGCCUUGAACAAGAGUGAGAUUUUGUGUUUAUAUUAUAUCAUAUAAAGAGUGAGACCUUAGGCAGAGUUUAGUAGGCUUAAGGAGCCGAGGCUGGGUGGUAAUAUUUUCUUCACACUGAUCUCCGUUAGAUUAUAGAAACGGGAUAACGUAACAGAUUCUUAGAGUAGUUUGAGCUUGAGAAACUCCAUAUUCAACAUAAGUUCCCUCUCAUGAAGAUCCUCCACUUGAUGACAGAGCUCCAAGAUUAGAUAGGAAAGAGAAGAAGCAUUAAGAAAAUAAGAUAAUUAAAAGUAUAUUGGUUUGUUUUCUGUUAAAAGAAGACGAGAAUGUUAGCAAAAGAACAUAAAAGAAGAGGUUUGGUAGAUGUUUUGUCACAGAAAAUGUAUCUUUUCUGGCCUGUGGGAAAGCAGCAGAAGCGGCGGAUCAGGGCUGGCCUGUGGGAAAGCAGCAGAAGCGGCGGGGGAGAACGCAAAAAAAAAAAAAAAAAAAAAAUUUUUAANNNNNNNNNNNNNNNNNNNNNNNNNNNNNNNNNNNNNNNNNNNNNNNNNNUAAAAAAAAAAAAAAAAAAAAAAAAAAAAAAUUAUCUAAUUUUUAAAGCUUAAUUUUUUUCAUUAUUUAAUUGUUUCUCAGAAUAAUCUAAUCGACUGUUCAAUAGUAUCUAAUUAUAUUCUCUAAUUUAGUGAUGUUUUCCAGUUUUUCUAGAUUUAAUUUAUUCUAGGCAUAAAGAUUUAUAUACCGACAAUAGUAAUAAUUGAAAUCAUUGCUUUGCUUGUUUUAGUUAUCAAAAGUAUCUUUUUCAUAAUUAUGGAAAAGAAUCAUGUGUCUACAUUUACUAAUUAAGAGAGAGAGAGUAAAAAUAAAUCAUGUUGACUAAGAAUAAACUUAUAUUUUAAUUUCAAAUAGUUGUCCCAAUGGUGUCUGUAGUAGCGAGGGGGGUUAAGGUAGUGGUGGUGGUCUGAACCUCUUGAAAUCCCCAUUGCGUAAAGGAAAAGACCUGUAGCGGGAGGUUCGGGUACAAAAACUUGGUGCACUUCGAAGGUGUUGUCAACCCUUAGCAUAUGGAGUAUCUGAGUUGUAGAGAGGGUGUUGUUAACUGAAUGUUGCACGAUAUCCGCUGCAAAUAUAACAGUAUGAGACUCGGGAUGUGAUACCAAACAACAAUUUAGUGAAUAAACAUGGUUGAUUUAGAAAUUGAAAGAAAAAAAAGACACCUGUGAUAGCGGCUAUGUUUUCGUUUGCAACGGCAGCUCCCAUAGCACCACCGGCAGCUCCCACAGCACCACCGGCAGCUCCCACAGCACCACCGGCCACCGGAUUGACAAUAAUGGUAAAACCAUUACCCGGGGGAAUCGUUACUCUGGCUCCUCCACCGACCAACAAAACCACAUGUCCCAGGAAGAACAUUAACUUCCAUGAUUUUGGAUUUUUAGGGAGAGAGACUUCGGAAUUAGGGUUCUAAAGUUAGAAAUGGGAAAGUGAAACGCAGAUUGCUUUAUUUUCCUCUGCACGCGCAUAAAACGCUGUUAGGGCCGCUUCUUCUUUUUUUUUUAAAAAACAAGUAGAAAUAAAAUAAAAUAAACUAUAUUUUGGCCCCACUUUUGAAAUGCGGGGUUUCUUGAAUUUUUUUAAAAAUUUGAUAUAAAUUAAUAUUUUGAGAUUGUACAGUAUUAUGUCUCUGUAUUAUUUUGAAGCAAAUAAAUUAUUUAAAAUUAUAUAAUUUAUGAAUUAAUUCAUUUGAGGUUUUGUAUAUACAUUUUUAUGUAACGUUUUCUUAGGUCUAGACUUUUUAUUUUUGAUCCAAAAAUUUAACAAAAUCCGACAUAAAAAUAUAGAUUUGGUUUAGAUCCUGGUCCAUGGCAAAGUACUUAUUGGAUAUUUUUUUGACCCGUAUAUCUUGGUUCAGGCUGGGAUCCGAUUGGAUACUCAAAAUGCCUAUAAUAUUGUGUGUAUAUUAAGCAUUUUAGAUAUAUUUUUGGCAUUACAUAUAUUCAUUUAAACUUCAGAUUCAUAUUUUCAGUUAUACUUUUGAGUUUCUGUUAAAAUUUUUUAAAAUAUAUAUUUCAAAUAUUUGGAUGAACUUUUGGGUAUUUUUUGUUUUAUUGAAUCAAAUUUCGAGUAAAAUCUAGAAUAUUUUUGGGGAUUUAAAUAUGCUGGAUAUUUGUUUGAGUGUUUAGGUAAUUUCAUAUUUUUGGAUACUUCAGAAUUUUCCUGGUCCUAAAUACCAAACCAAUUCGGACCUGCUAUGUAUAAAAAAAAAUUACAACUGAGGAGUUUUACAGAUAUUUGAAUUAAGCCAACAGAUACUACAUGGUAUCAUCAUUUAUACUCAUCUGAGGAGUUUCUAAUCUUCGGAUUGUAAAGACACAAGAGAUACAUAAAGUUAAAACCCAUUACUAUGUGAAUUCUGUACAAAAAUAUUUUAAAAUGAGAAAUAAUUAAUUCAAACUGUCAUUUUUAGUUGUAUUAAUUAUUAUGCUUAGGUUUUUGGUUUUAAGUUUGCUAACAAAAAUUAAAUCUCUAUUUUGAAUAUCAAAUAUAUUAAAAUUUUAUAAUUGGAGUAAAUUUCAACAUAAACUGUAAAUAAUAUAUUGAAAAAAAGAUUUAACCAGAGUAUUAAAAAAAUUUAAAGACCAGAAUAGAAACUUAUAAUUAAAUAAUGCUCACUUAAUUACAUCUAUUCUAUUUAAAUAAUAUAACUUUAUACAUUUGUAAAUAUUAAAGGCUGCGGUUUUAGAAAACAUUUAUACCAUGUUCAGACAACAACAUGUACUACCUAUAAUCUUAGCAAAUGUUUAUGGUUUAUGAGAAGUUGUAAUGUUUAUUAGAUCCCUUUUAAAUAUAUAUAUAUAUAUAUAUAUAAGAUUUUUUAGUAUUCAAUUCUGCUGGUUUUAUUUUGCAGUAUUUUUUCAGUAAAAUCAUAGGUAAUUUAACAUAUUAAAUUUGAAUCUUCUGGUUUUUAAGUUUUCAAGGACUCUAACCUACGUGCUACGUUAGAGACACAUUGUGUUUGCACAUUUCCUUUGAAUCAUUGAUAAUUACUAUUCAAGUGGUACAGUUUAAAUACCUUCACUAUAAUUAGUUCACAGUUGAGAUAAGUUUGCAGCGUUGACCAUUCCACAGGCAAGAAUAAAUAUGUGGAAAAGUGUUUUUGAAAGUCUAUCAAAAAUUAAUUAAUCAUGUUAAAAUUGUAGAUAUGUUUGGAGAUUUGAAAAUAUUGUUGGAAGAUUUAUCACAUGAUAAAUUUAUAAUAAUACAGUUUAAGAUAAUAAAUGUUGUUAGGCAUAAAAAUAAAAAUGGCAAAGCAAAUCAAAGACAAAAUUUUAGGAGGACUUAUUUUUAUAGUAUAGAUUAAUAAUAAUGUUGUAUAGUUAAAAAAAUAUAAGGUAAGAUCAACAUAUUGUUAGUCAAAUAAAAUGGUAUAACAACCUUGUUUAAGUAUAUUUUUUAAAAUAUUUCUCUUUUAAUAGUAUAAUAACUAAGAAUAUUUGCAUGUUUUGGAAAUAGGGGCUAAAGUUUUAGAAAGUUCGACCAAAUUUUGGCAGUUUCAUUUUUAACUUUGAUCCUAAUUUUCUAGUCAAAAUUUCAUUUCUCACUUUUUUGUCAACUAUCUAUCUUUUUUUUUUUUUUUUUUUUUUUUUUUUUUUUUUUUGUUCAAGUCAACUAUCUAUCUACUAUACCAAGUUCUGGUCAAACAAACCUAUUCACUGGAUAGUAUCUUUGUAUGUCCAUGUCUGAUCUAACCAUAUUUGUAUGUAGGAGGCUUUCUGCGUCUUCCCUCUCCACUGGUUGGAUCAGCCAUGUUCGAACUGCUUCCUUCAUUGUCACCACCUUUGUUUUCUUGUUCUGUCUCAGUUUCUUUUGCUUCUUCAGUAUCAGCUUCCUCAUUCCAUGUAAGUUUAUUUGACUCACCUCCAGAUUCAUUUUUCCAUUCCCAUUCUUCAUCUUCCUCAAACACCACAUCUCUACUAAUGAUGAUUUUGCCUCUCAUUGGAUCGUAUAGCUGGUACGCUUUAGAUUCUUUAUUCAAUCCAAAACCACACAUUUGAUGCUCUUGUCAUCUAGAUUCUUUCGCUUCUCUUUAGGUAUGUGUGUGUGCGCUAACCUCCCGAACAGUCUGAAGUUAGACACAAGAGGUCUAGUCCUACUCCAUGCUUCUUCUAGCGUCAUUCCUUCCACUGCUGCAGCGGGACUUCGAUCCAGAACAUGAACACACCACAUAGUUUCUUCUGGCCAGAAGAUCUUUGGAACUUUCUUUCCACUCAGCACGCUCCUAACCAUGUUCAGUAUGCUUCUGUUCUUCCUCUUUGCUAUCCCAUUUUGUUGGGGUGUGUAAGCUGAAGUGAGCUGUCUUUGAAUUCCAUAGCCAUCACACAACUCCUUGAACUCACUUGAGUUGUAUUCUCCCCCUCUGUCUGAUCUCAAGCACUUGAUCAGAGCAUGUCUCUCUCUCCACCAGCGCCUUAAACUUCUUAAAUGCAUCGAGAGCUUGAGAUUUUUCUGAAAGAAAAUCAACCCAACACUUUCUUGAGAAGUCAUCUAUGAAAGUGAUGAUGUACCUCAUUUCACUACUGGAUUCUGGAGUUAUUGGCCCACAAAGGUCCGAGUGAACAAGCUGGAGGAUUUGUGAAGGUCUAUAAUUGCUCCUUUUUGGAAUGAUCUCUCUCUGCUGCUUCCCUGUUAUGCAAUCCUUGCACAGCUUGGUAGGUGCUGUCAACUGUGGUAACCCUCUGACCAUGUUUCCAGGCUUCAGUGUUUUCAAUCCACUGCAACUCAAGUGCCCAUACCGACAAUGCCACAGGUGAGUUGUGUCUUCUGACGAUGCCUUGAAGCAGAUAGGUUCUUGAGCCAUCAUCCUUGCAUUGAUAACAAACAUCCUAUUGAUUGUCAUGGCAGAAUUCAAGAUCAGACCCUUCUCUCUAUGGCAUAGCCCACACUCUUGAUCUUGAAUGAGCACUGCGAUCCCCUUUUCCACUAGCUAACCCACACUGAUAAGAUUGUUCUUGAGCUCCGGGAUGUAGUACACACUCGUGAUUAUGUGUGAAACGCCUUCAAUCUCCAACCUAACAUUUCCUUUCCCCACUACUGCCAUCUUUAAGUUGUCUCCCAACUUCAGUGAAUACUUGUAACUCUCAUCUAGAUCACUGAACCAUUGUCUUUCUCCUGUCAUGUGGUUGUUGCACCCGGAGUCAAGAAACCAAAUCUGAUCUGAGUUUUUGAUUUCUUCUCGCGCCAUCAAAACCAUGUUCUCGAUACCCAGUACCCACACAUAUAUUACAUACAUUUUUUUAUUUUUUGAAAAAUAUAUUACCAACAGUUAUAUAUAUAUACAUAUAUUAACAAAUAUUCCUUCUUUUUGGGUUUAUAUCAUGUUCAACGUCUCUGACUUCUUCAUUUUCAGAACAUGAAUGCAUGUGGCAGAUGUGGAAGGAAAAUCACCUUAGGUGCUUAGUGAUCUGAGAGCAAUGCAUUGCUUCUAAAUUCGGUUAUCAGCCAUUAAACAUCCCCACACCUCCACUAAACCUCUGAAUAACUUUGUGUUUCAGUUUGUGUGAGAAGUAGUAGAUGACCUGCCUUGAUAUUAGAGUUUCUCCCGGAUGGAAUACCAAAAAACAAUAUGUUCCAUCAUGGUGAGUAGCAUAUCUAGAAGGCACAGAGAAAAAAAUGGAGCAGACUGACCAAAUAUUAAAAUAAAAUAUUGAAUUGUUUCGGCUGACAAAAAUUCAUUUCUAGAAAAGGUACAUAAAGAGCAUCAAAAAAAUCAUGUAUUAUCAAAACCUCACUGCCUUAACCAUCCAUGGACUGGUUCCAGGGCAUGCACCACAUAACCUCUAUGGACAUAACCCAGUGCCUGUCAAAGCAUGUUGUUGUCUUGGUUGGUUCACAGAAAUAACGGAAAGAGAGAUAAACUACUCAUUUCAUGACUGUGCAAGAACUACGCCAAAGAAGCUAAGAGAUAUUAUCAAGUAAGAAGAAAUAAGUACCUGAUGGCCAAGACAAAUGCCUAGAAUUGGAAUAUCAAGAAAUUCAAGCAAAAGGCGAAGACAUAUUCCUACAGGGCCAGAGCCAUGUUCAAGAUGAGACAAACACAUGUGGGUCAACAAAGGGACAUAAAGCAAAAACUCAAUUAAAACUAGGCUGGUGAUUAUAUCAGCUGGACACAUGGGAGAACCAGGUCCAGGCAAUAUGACAAUAGUAUCAGAAGCAGUGUCUUCAUAGAAGUAACAGUAAGACGUCCACUCACAGUUCCAAAUAACCACCGGAGGCACUACACCGGAUACAAACAUAAGUUGAAAAACACACAGGCCGGAUACAAACAUAAGUUGAAAAACACACAGGAUCUAUGUAUAGAGAGUGACAAAGAGAAGGAUAAUAAGGUACCUCCAUUGAUAGUACUGAGUGCCUGAUGUAUAUUGAAUGUGUAACUAUCGUAAUUAUCAAUCAACAAAGUCCUCACAAAGCCAAGCCUUCUCACAGACUCUCUUCUCGGUAGACUCUUGUUAGCAAUGGACGAAUCUUCCAAGUGCCCUGGCACAAUAUGUCUCGAGCUUACUUGCCAAACCUAACACUCCAGCUGAUCCACCAUGACUCUCCCCAUCCUCCACUCUACAACCCUCUCGGCACCGUCUCCGACGUUCUCAAUUCCGCUUUCUUCUGUUCAAUCUCCUGUUCCCGUCUUUACUCAAACAAAACCGAUCUCAAGUGCGGUCCAGUCUCUAACGGCAACAAAUACUCGGUACUCGACCAACAGCCUUAAAAUCGUUGAAAAUAAAAGUGUGUUAGCCAUUCUUAUGAUUUUUUGUUUUAUUGAAUCAGAUUUCGAGUAAAAUCAAGAAUAUUUUUGGGGAUUUAAAUAUGUUUAGGAUAUUUGUCUUAGUGUCGGCUCUAGUUACUUUAGUUUAGGCAAACGGAACAUGAGAACAAGAAUCUCUUAGAAAUCAACGACUAAUGUUUCCAAAUUCUAAUAAGAAUAUCUUUAAGGAAAACAUGAUAAAACAGAAUUUUUUUAAUAUGUUUCUGCAAUAGCAAACAACAUGAUAAACUGAUGAUGGUUGUUAUCAUUAUUCAAUGGUAGCCAAUCUGAAUUCAAGAAAAAGAUAAAAACAAGAGUAACAAAAUUAAAAACGCACCAAACAUCAAAAAGACACAAGCAAGCAACCAUUGUAGUUGAAAAUAUCUCUGUCCGAUCUAUGAAAUCUGACCGCAGUCGAUCACGACGGGCCUGGAAAGCUUGUCCCUACGAGGUUCGUGUGAUAUGAUCCUGACCACAUCCAAUCCUUCAACAACUUGGCCGAAGACGACGUGUACAUCGUCGAGUUCCCAGUUCUCGGUCAAGGAGAUCAAAAACUGAGAUUGGUUGGUGUCAGGACCACCGUUGUUCAUGGAGAGGAU
RNAcentral lists this long non-coding RNA (36920 nucleotides) under Brassica napus (rape). RNAcentral's name for it is "long non-coding RNA (BNAP_LNC016398)". Lineage: Eukaryota; Viridiplantae; Streptophyta; Magnoliopsida; Brassicales; Brassicaceae. The record is from RNAcentral.